This 601-nucleotide ribosomal RNA is filed under the name uncultured bacterium. Its description in RNAcentral is "bacterial SSU rRNA". It matches the Rfam family "Bacterial small subunit ribosomal RNA", at positions 735 to 1340 of the family's 1533-position model. The record is from RNAcentral.
CGUAACUGACGCUAAUGCUCGAAGGUGCGGGUAUCGAACAGGAUUAGAUACCCUGGUAGUCCGCACGGUAAACGAUGGAUGCCCGCUGUUGGCGAUACAAUGUCAGCGGCCAAGCGAAAGCGUUAAGCAUCCCACCUGGGGAGUACGCCGGCAACGGUGAAACUCAAAGGAAUUGACGGGGGCCCGCACAAGCGGAGGAACAUGUGGUUUAAUUCGAUGAUACGCGAGGAACCUUACCCGGGCUUGAACUGCAGGUGAACGAUACAGAGAUGUUGAGGUCCUUCGGGACACCUGUGGAGGUGCUGCAUGGUUGUCGUCAGCUCGUGCCGUGAGGUGUCGGCUUAAGUGCCAUAACGAGCGCAACCCUUUUCGCGAGUUGCCAUCAGGUAAUGCUGGGGACUCUUGCGAUACUGCCACCGUAAGGUGUGAGGAAGGUGGGGAUGACGUCAAAUCAGCACGGCCCUUACGUCCGGGGCUACACACGUGUUACAAUGGGUGGUACAGAGAGUGGGCCGCACGCAAGUUCGGUCAAAUCAAGAAAGCCAUCCUCAGUUCGGAUUGGGGUCUGCAACCCGACCCCAUGAAGCUGGAUUCGCUAGUA